AAAACGGAGAGUUUGAUCCUGGCUCAGGAUGAACGCUGGCGGUAUGCUUAACACAUGCAAGUCGAACGGUGUCUUCGGACACAGUGGCGGACGGGUGAGUAACGCGUGAGAAUCUGGCUUUAGGUCUGGGACAACCACUGGAAACGGUGGCUAAUACCGGAUGUGCCGAGAGGUGAAAGGUUAACUGCCUGAAGAUGAGCUCGCGUCUGAUUAGCUAGUAGGUGUGGUAAAGGCGCACCUAGGCGACGAUCAGUAGCUGGUCUGAGAGGACGAUCAGCCACACUGGGACUGAGACACGGCCCAGACUCCUACGGGAGGC
RNAcentral lists this ribosomal RNA (319 nucleotides) under Nostoc linckia FACHB-391. RNAcentral's name for it is "bacterial SSU rRNA". It matches the Rfam family "Bacterial small subunit ribosomal RNA", at positions 1 to 349 of the family's 1533-position model. RNAcentral also lists the same sequence under 1 other name. The record is from RNAcentral. Lineage: Bacteria; Bacillati; Cyanobacteriota; Cyanophyceae; Nostocales; Nostocaceae.